Molecule: ribosomal RNA, 2923 nt
Filed under: Klebsiella pneumoniae
Lineage: Bacteria; Pseudomonadati; Pseudomonadota; Gammaproteobacteria; Enterobacterales; Enterobacteriaceae
Description: 23S ribosomal RNA
Rfam family: Bacterial large subunit ribosomal RNA
Source: RNAcentral
GGGUUGUGAGGUUAAGCGACUAAGCGUACACGGUGGAUGCCCUGGCAGUCAGAGGCGAUGAAGGACGUGCUAAUCUGCGAAAAGCGUCGGUAAGGUGAUAUGAACCGUUAUAACCGGCGAUGUCCGAAUGGGGAAACCCAGUGUGAUUCGUCACACUAUCGUUAACUGAAUACAUAGGUUAACGAGGCGAACCGGGGGAACUGAAACAUCUAAGUACCCCGAGGAAAAGAAAUCAACCGAGAUUCCCCCAGUAGCGGCGAGCGAACGGGGAGCAGCCCAGAGUCUGAAUCAGCUUGUGUGUUAGUGGAACGGUCUGGAAAGUCCGACGGUACAGGGUGAUAGUCCCGUACACCAAAAUGCACAGGUUGUGAACUCGAAGAGUAGGGCGGGACACGUGGUAUCCUGUCUGAAUAUGGGGGGACCAUCCUCCAAGGCUAAAUACUCCUGACUGACCGAUAGUGAACCAGUACCGUGAGGGAAAGGCGAAAAGAACCCCGGCGAGGGGAGUGAAAAAGAACCUGAAACCGUGUACGUACAAGCAGUGGGAGCACCUUCGGGUGUGACUGCGUACCUUUUGUAUAAUGGGUCAGCGACUUAUAUUCUGUAGCAAGGUUAACCGUAUAGGGGAGCCGCAGGGAAACCGAGUCUUAACUGGGCGUUAAGUUGCAGGGUAUAGACCCGAAACCCGGUGAUCUAGCCAUGGGCAGGUUGAAGGUUGGGUAACACUAACUGGAGGACCGAACCGACUAAUGUUGAAAAAUUAGCGGAUGACUUGUGGCUGGGGGUGAAAGGCCAAUCAAACCGGGAGAUAGCUGGUUCUCCCCGAAAGCUAUUUAGGUAGCGCCUCGUGAACUCAUCUUCGGGGGUAGAGCACUGUUUCGGCUAGGGGGUCAUCCCGACUUACCAACCCGAUGCAAACUACGAAUACCGAAGAAUGUUAUCACGGGAGACACACGGCGGGUGCUAACGUCCGUCGUGAAGAGGGAAACAACCCAGACCGCCAGCUAAGGUCCCAAAGUCAUGGUUAAGUGGGAAACGAUGUGGGAAGGCACAGACAGCCAGGAUGUUGGCUUAGAAGCAGCCAUCAUUUAAAGAAAGCGUAAUAGCUCACUGGUCGAGUCGGCCUGCGCGGAAGAUGUAACGGGGCUAAACCAUGCACCGAAGCUGCGGCAGCGACACUAUGUGUUGUUGGGUAGGGGAGCGUUCUGUAAGCCUGCGAAGGUGUGCUGUGAGGCAUGCUGGAGGUAUCAGAAGUGCGAAUGCUGACAUAAGUAACGAUAAAGCGGGUGAAAAGCCCGCUCGCCGGAAGACCAAGGGUUCCUGUCCAACGUUAAUCGGGGCAGGGUGAGUCGACCCCUAAGGCGAGGCCGAAAGGCGUAGUCGAUGGGAAACAGGUUAAUAUUCCUGUACUUGGUGUUACUGCGAAGGGGGGACGGAGAAGGCUAUGUUAGCCGGGCGACGGUUGUCCCGGUUUAAGCAUGUAGGCUGGUUAUCCAGGCAAAUCCGGAUAAUCAAGGCUGAGGUGUGAUGACGAGGCACUACGGUGCUGAAGUAACAAAUGCCCUGCUUCCAGGAAAAGCCUCUAAGCAUCAGGUAACAUCAAAUCGUACCCCAAACCGACACAGGUGGUCAGGUAGAGAAUACCAAGGCGCUUGAGAGAACUCGGGUGAAGGAACUAGGCAAAAUGGUGCCGUAACUUCGGGAGAAGGCACGCUGGUGUGUAGGUGAAGUCCCUGCGGAUGGAGCUGAGACCAGUCGAAGAUACCAGCUGGCUGCAACUGUUUAUUAAAAACACAGCACUGUGCAAACACGAAAGUGGACGUAUACGGUGUGACGCCUGCCCGGUGCCGGAAGGUUAAUUGAUGGGGUUAUCCGUAAGGAGAAGCUCUUGAUCGAAGCCCCGGUAAACGGCGGCCGUAACUAUAACGGUCCUAAGGUAGCGAAAUUCCUUGUCGGGUAAGUUCCGACCUGCACGAAUGGCGUAAUGAUGGCCAGGCUGUCUCCACCCGAGACUCAGUGAAAUUGAACUCGCUGUGAAGAUGCAGUGUACCCGCGGCAAGACGGAAAGACCCCGUGAACCUUUACUAUAGCUUGACACUGAACAUUGAGCCUUGAUGUGUAGGAUAGGUGGGAGGCUUUGAAGCGUGGACGCCAGUCUGCGUGGAGCCAACCUUGAAAUACCACCCUUUAAUGUUUGAUGUUCUAACGUUGGCCCCUUAUCGGGGUUGCGGACAGUGUCUGGUGGGUAGUUUGACUGGGGCGGUCUCCUCCCAAAGCGUAACGGAGGAGCACGAAGGUUAGCUAAUCCUGGUCGGACAUCAGGAGGUUAGUGCAAUGGCAUAAGCUAGCUUGACUGCGAGCGUGACGGCGCGAGCAGGUGCGAAAGCAGGUCAUAGUGAUCCGGUGGUUCUGAAUGGAAGGGCCAUCGCUCAACGGAUAAAAGGUACUCCGGGGAUAACAGGCUGAUACCGCCCAAGAGUUCAUAUCGACGGCGGUGUUUGGCACCUCGAUGUCGGCUCAUCACAUCCUGGGGCUGAAGUAGGUCCCAAGGGUAUGGCUGUUCGCCAUUUAAAGUGGUACGCGAGCUGGGUUUAGAACGUCGUGAGACAGUUCGGUCCCUAUCUGCCGUGGGCGCUGGAGAAUUGAGGGGGGCUGCUCCUAGUACGAGAGGACCGGAGUGGACGCAUCACUGGUGUUCGGGUUGUCAUGCCAAUGGCACUGCCCGGUAGCUAAAUGCGGAAGAGAUAAGUGCUGAAAGCAUCUAAGCACGAAACUUGCCCCGAGAUGAGUUCUCCCUGAGACUUUAAGUCUCCUGAAGGAACGUUGAAGACGACGACGUUGAUAGGCCGGGUGUGUAAGCGCAGCGAUGCGUUGAGCUAACCGGUACUAAUGAACCGUGAGGCUUAACCUUACAACGCCGAAG